GUUUGAUCCUGGCUCAGAUUGAACGCUGGCGGCAUGCCUUACACAUGCAAGUCGAACGGCAGCACGGACUUCGGUCUGGUGGCGAGUGGCGAACGGGUGAGUAAUGUAUCGGAACGUACCUUUCAGUGGGGGAUAACGUAGCGAAAGUUACGCUAAUACCGCAUAUUCUGUGAGCAGGAAAGCAGGGGAUCGCAAGACCUUGCGCUGAUUGAGCGGCCGAUAUCAGAUUAGCUAGUUGGUGGGGUAAAGGCCUACCAAGGCGACGAUCUGUAGCGGGUCUGAGAGGAUGAUCCGCCACACUGGAACUGAGACACGGUCCAGACUCCUACGGGAGGCAGCAGUGGGGAUUUUGGACAAGUGGGGGCAACCCGUGAUCCAGCCAUGCCGCGUGAGUGAAGAAGGCC
RNAcentral lists this ribosomal RNA (404 nucleotides) under uncultured bacterium. RNAcentral describes it as "bacterial SSU rRNA". It matches the Rfam family "Bacterial small subunit ribosomal RNA", at positions 11 to 416 of the family's 1533-position model. The record is from RNAcentral.